AUUUUUAGUUCUAAUCAUGUACAAAUUUUACUUGUGUUGCAGCAAUCAUGGCAGAUGAAACUCAAAAUGAGAUGAAGGAGGUUCUAGAAAUCACGCUGAAGAUGAUGAAGGAGAAAUAGUUGCUCCUCAGGCUCGUUAUCCUUGGGAAGGGAGUGAUCGUGAUUAUGAAUAUGAGGAGGGUGUUUAACAUUCUACAUGAGAAUAAUGUUGAACUUGCUGGAGAUCGGGGAGGACAGUUAUGAGGCCUCCUCAUGUUCUUCGUGAAGGCACAAAGAAAACUGUGUUCAUGAAUUUUAUGGAUCUAUGCAAAACAUAUGUUGAUAUU
Molecule: non-coding RNA, 325 nt
Organism: Cajanus cajan (pigeon pea)
Lineage: Eukaryota; Viridiplantae; Streptophyta; Magnoliopsida; Fabales; Fabaceae
Source: RefSeq, a predicted model, not a curated record